RNAcentral lists this long non-coding RNA (596 nucleotides) under Brassica rapa (field mustard). RNAcentral describes it as "long non-coding RNA (BRAP_LNC001049)". The record is from RNAcentral. Lineage: Eukaryota; Viridiplantae; Streptophyta; Magnoliopsida; Brassicales; Brassicaceae.
AGAACAUAUAAAUGAAAAAUACAUAUAACACAAGAACCAAACCAAAAAUGAAUGAACGUUUUUUAUCAUAGGUCCACAUUUGAACAACCAACUAUUUAAGAUGUAAUAUAUAUAUUUUCACAAAACUAUCGAACAUCAAAGAGUGAAAAAAUUAUCUUGGUACGAAUAGUCUUAAAAUAUAUAAUGAUAAAAACCACAUUAACUAACUAUAUAUAAUAUAUUAUAAAUUAAUCAACACAAUGCAUGAAAAUUAAUACUCGCCAUAAGAUUUUUAACAAUAUUUUACUUUAACAAUUCCAUAAUAAUUAUUUGAAGCUUCAAAUGAUAAUUAACAAAAAAAAACUAAAAUACAUAAACAUCAUACCACAUAUAAAGUCAAUAAAUAUUAACGACUGAGAACAAGAAAAUAACAUCAAACUAAUUUAUUAUACUCAUUUGUAAAUUUCAUGAAUUAUAAAUCUAUUGUAUAGUGUCAAAAAUAUGUGGUACAAAAUAAAAAAGUUAAACAAGUCAUACUCCGAAUUUAUUAAAAAUUAAACAAAAUAAUGAAAAUUAUCUAACAUAUAAAAAUUUAUAAAAUACAAACUUAAACAAAC